GACGAACGCUGGCGGCGUGCUUAACACAUGCAAGUCGAACGGAAAGGCCCUGCUUUUGUGGGGUGCUCGAGUGGCGAACGGGUGAGUAACACGUGAGUAACCUGCCCUUGACUUUAGGAUAACUUCAGGAAACUGGGGCUAAUACCGGAUAGGAGCUCCUGCUGCAUGGUGGGGGUUGGAAAGUUUCGGCGGUUGGGGAUGGACUCGCGGCUUAUCAGCUUGUUGGUGGGGUAGUGGCUUACCAAGGCUUUGACGGGUAGCCGGCCUGAGAGGGUGACCGGCCACAUUGGGACUGAGAUACGGCCCAGACUCCUACGGGAGGCAGCGGUGGGGAAUCUUGCACAAUGGGCGGAAGCCUGAUGCAGCAACGCCGCGUGCGGGAUGACGGCCUUCGGGUUGUAAACCGCUUUCGCCUGUGACGAAGCGUGAGUGACGGUAAUGGGUAAAGAAGCACCGGCUAACUACGU
This 467-nucleotide ribosomal RNA is filed under the name uncultured bacterium. RNAcentral describes it as "partial 16S ribosomal RNA". It matches the Rfam family "Bacterial small subunit ribosomal RNA", at positions 28 to 506 of the family's 1533-position model. The record is from RNAcentral.